This 468-nucleotide ribosomal RNA is filed under the name uncultured bacterium. RNAcentral's name for it is "partial 16S ribosomal RNA". It matches the Rfam family "Bacterial small subunit ribosomal RNA", at positions 28 to 507 of the family's 1533-position model. The record is from RNAcentral.
GACGAACGCUGGCGGCGUGCUUAACACAUGCAAGUCGAACGGAAAGGCCCUGCUUUUGUGGGGUGCUCGAGUGGCGAACGGGUGAGUAACACGUGAGUAACCUGCCCUUGACUUUGGGAUAACUUCAGGAAACUGGGGCUAAUACCGGAUAGGAGCUCCUGCUGCAUGGUGGGGGUUGGAAAGUUUCGGCGGUUGGGGAUGGACUCGCGGCUUAUCAGCUUGUUGGUGGGGUAGUGGCUUACCAAGGCUUUGACGGGUAGCCGGCCUGAGAGGGUGACCGGCGAGAUUGGGACUGAGAUACGGCCCAGACUCCUACGGGAGGCAGCAGUGGGGAAUAUUGCACAAUGGGCGGAAGCCUGAUGCAGCAACGCGGCGUGCGGGAUGACGGCCUUCGGGUUGUAAACCGCUUUCGCCUGUGACGAAGCGUGAGUGACGGUAAUGGGUAAAGAAGCACCGGCUAACUACGUG